GUGGCGAACGGGUGAGUAACACGUGGGCAAUCUGCCCUUCACUCUGGGACAAGCCCUGGAAACGGGGUCUAAUACCGGAUAACACUCUGUCCCGCAUGGGACGGGGUUAAAAGCUCCGGCGGUGAAGGAUGAGCCCGCGGCCUAUCAGCUUGUUGGUGGGGUAAUGGCCUACCAAGGCGACGACGGGUAGCCGGCCUGAGAGGGCGACCGGCCACACUGGGACUGAGACACGGCCCAGACUCCUACGGGAGGCAGCAGUGGGGAAUAUUGCACAAUGGGCGAAAGCCUGAUGCAGCGACGCCGCGUGAGGGAUGACGGCCUUCGGGUUGUAAACCUCUUUCAGCAGGGAAGAAGCGAAAGUGACGGUACCUGCAGAAGAAGCGCCGGCUAACUACGUGCCAGCAGCCGCGGUAAUACGUAGGGCGCAAGCGUUGUCCGGAAUUAUUGGGCGUAAAGAGCUCGUAGGCGGCUUGUCACGUCGGAUGUGAAAGCCCGGGGCUUAACCCCGGGUCUGCAUUCGAUACGG
RNAcentral lists this ribosomal RNA (526 nucleotides) under Streptomyces sp. E128. RNAcentral describes it as "bacterial SSU rRNA". It matches the Rfam family "Bacterial small subunit ribosomal RNA", at positions 95 to 635 of the family's 1533-position model. Lineage: Bacteria; Bacillati; Actinomycetota; Actinomycetes; Kitasatosporales; Streptomycetaceae. The record is from RNAcentral.